GUUCAGAACGUCGUGAGACAGUUCGGUCCCUAUCCGUCGUGGGCGUAGGAAAUUUGAGAGGAGCUGUCCUUAGUACGAGAGGACCGGGAUGGACGCACCGCUGGUGUACCAGUUGUUCUGCCAAGGGCAUAGCUGGGUAGCUAUGUGCGGAAGGGAUAAGUGCUGAAAGCAUCUAAGCAUGAAGCCCCCCUCAAGAUGAGAUUUCCCAUAGCGUAAGCUAGUAAGAUCCCUGAAAGAUGAUCAGGUUGAUAGGUUCGAGGUGGAAGCAUGGUGACAUGUGGAGCUGACGAAUACUAAUAGAUCGAGGACUUAACCAUAUAA
RNAcentral lists this ribosomal RNA (321 nucleotides) under Bacillus thuringiensis. RNAcentral's name for it is "bacterial LSU rRNA". It matches the Rfam family "Bacterial large subunit ribosomal RNA", at positions 2609 to 2925 of the family's 2925-position model. RNAcentral also lists the same sequence under 2 other names. Lineage: Bacteria; Bacillati; Bacillota; Bacilli; Caryophanales; Bacillaceae. The record is from RNAcentral.